Sander lucioperca (pikeperch) is the source of this 158-nucleotide long non-coding RNA. RefSeq lists it as uncharacterized. The transcript is spliced from 3 exons. NCBI's taxonomy places the organism in Eukaryota, Metazoa, Chordata, Actinopteri, Perciformes, Percidae. The record is from RefSeq and is a predicted model, not a curated record.
AACAGGGGUCAUUUUCAGUAGUGGUGUGCGAUACUGCAAUAUUUGGUAUCGAUCCGAUACCAAGUAAAUACAGGGCCAGUAUCGCCGAUACCGAUAUCAAUACGAUACCGAUACGAUACCGAUACCGAUACUUUUUAAUAAUUAAGGUGGAUGCAUCA